UACGAACCGGACAAGCGUUAUUCGGAAUUAUUGGGCUUAAAGGGUGCGUAGGCGGCCGCGCAAGUCGGGUGUGAAAUCCCUCGGCUCAACCGAGGAAUUGCGCCCGAUACUGCGUGGCUAGAGGGAGACAGAGGCGAGCGGAACUGAUGGUGGAGCGGUGAAAUGCGUUGAUAUCAUCAGGAACACCGGUGGCGAAGGCGGCUCGCUGGGUCUCUUCUGACGCUCAGGCACGAAAGCUAGGGUAGCGAACAGG
Molecule: ribosomal RNA, 253 nt
Filed under: uncultured bacterium
Lineage: Bacteria
Description: partial 16S ribosomal RNA
Rfam family: Bacterial small subunit ribosomal RNA
Source: RNAcentral